RNAcentral lists this transfer RNA (358 nucleotides) under Microcystis aeruginosa MP03B7. RNAcentral describes it as "partial 16S-23S ribosomal RNA intergenic spacer". The stretch from base 133 to 206 matches the Rfam family "tRNA". Lineage: Bacteria; Bacillati; Cyanobacteriota; Cyanophyceae; Chroococcales; Microcystaceae. The record is from RNAcentral.
AAGGGAGACCUAAUUCCGGUAGGAGACGAAAAAAAGGUAGUCCCAACCAAGAAUCAAUCCCAAAAGGUCGGAACGAGGUAUGAGGCUUUCAAACUAGGUUCUGGGUUCAUAAAAGACCUGAAUCAGGAACAAGGGCUAUUAGCUCAGGUGGUUAGAGCGCACCCCUGAUAAGGGUGAGGUCCCUGGUUCGAGUCCAGGAUGGCCCACCUGCACAGGUGGCAAAAACAAGAGAAGCUCCGAAUCAGCACCUUAUCUUAUAUACAUAUAUAAGAGAGAAUGCUGGCUCUGAGUACAGAGUCCAGAGGAACCUUGAAAACUGCAUAGAGCUAGGUGAAAAAGCCAAAAAAGAAGACCGCAA